AGAUUAUCUUGCCUUCACUUCUCAGGACUCGCCUGGUGUACUUCAUUUGAAAAAAUUAUCAGAUGCUGGCCUCACACAUAAUUUGGAAGUCUGUAGAUAUGGAGAUGCUCAAAUCUCUGCCACCAGAUUCACCUGAGCAACAGGAGUACAUCACAGCCAUCCAAAAUGAGGAUGGAUACAACUGGGGAUUGUACAAUUGACAGCAUCUGCAAAAUUUGAGGA
Lactuca sativa (garden lettuce) is the source of this 222-nucleotide long non-coding RNA. RefSeq lists it as uncharacterized. NCBI's taxonomy places the organism in Eukaryota, Viridiplantae, Streptophyta, Magnoliopsida, Asterales, Asteraceae. The record is from RefSeq and is a predicted model, not a curated record.